AUCCGAUCGUUCCAAGUUAAUUAGUCCAUUUUUCUUCCUCGUACUCACAUCUAUCAACUGAGCCACCCAUCUUCUUUAACUCGUAUCCACCGCUACCUAUUCCGCUGGAAAAUUUCGGCAGGAGAGUAUGUUGGAAGUGAUUGUUGGGGAUUUGAGUCAACAAUGUGCAAUUCGAUCGUCCAACAUGUAUUUCCAUGAACAAAACUCAGUGAUUUUUUGUUAGUGAUAUAAUUUCAAGAACACAUCAGUUCCUGAUUAACCCCAAACACAUGUUUUCGAUUUAUUUCUCGGGUUCAAGGAGUCACAACCGGCCAUCGUUCCAAUGGGUUCGCCAUCACCUUCCACCUGAUUUCACGCUCAUGUCUUGUCCAACCAGGCUAAAUUACUGAGUAAUUCUAUAACUACCAUCAAGCCUUUUGCUACUUUACCGUGAAUGGGCAUGUAUAUGUUGACUGAAUAGGUCAUUUGACAGCAAGAAGCCAUAUAUAAGUUUUGGUCUGGUACUCCUUGAGUGUUUAACAGGUUGGCGAUGCAUUGACAAAAAUAUCCACCUGGUGAGCAAAUAUUGGUUGUAUUUGCUAAAGCCUCUUUUGAGUAGCAAACGAAUGAUUCUUCACAUCAUGGACCCAUGUAUCGAAGGCUUGAUGAAAGAACCCAAAUACAUGUCGAGUGUUGAUGAGUUGGUUAAAGCAUUGGAGCAUAUUUAGGAGUUGCAUAAAGCAUUGGAGAAUGUUGGAAUGGAAUCAGUGAGAAAAGAGAAUCAGAAUGGAAAUGAGAAAGAAAAUAAGAACAAAAAUGUUUCUUAUCAGUGUGGAUAUUUUGGUGUAUAGUUUUCGAGUUUUAUGAAUAUAUAAUUCAAACUCACUUUUUUAAAUUCAAGCUCAAGUCUUGAUUUCUGGUUA
Lactuca sativa (garden lettuce) is the source of this 902-nucleotide long non-coding RNA. RefSeq lists it as uncharacterized. The record is from RefSeq and is a predicted model, not a curated record. NCBI's taxonomy places the organism in Eukaryota, Viridiplantae, Streptophyta, Magnoliopsida, Asterales, Asteraceae.